Long non-coding RNA from Ruditapes philippinarum (Manila clam), 354 nucleotides. RefSeq lists it as uncharacterized. NCBI's taxonomy places the organism in Eukaryota, Metazoa, Mollusca, Bivalvia, Venerida, Veneridae. The record is from RefSeq and is a predicted model, not a curated record. The transcript is spliced from 3 exons.
AACCACGCAUUCAUGCUGCGCAUGCGUCUUUAAGCUACGCCGCUUUAUAUCACGUGACACAGAUGUUUAAAACCGAAAGUAGAGGUAUUUUUAAGGAAGUUUAAACAAGUCAACUUUCAAAUGGUGAUUAAAAAUGGGCGCAUCAUUUAGCUCGGAGGACCCAAGUGAACAAGAUCGAAACUUGCGAUUUUACAGAAAUGAAAUCAGAUCUAGUCCGUGGCCCGGUUCCAAGAUUGCCGAUAUGUUACUUUGGACGGGUAAAUACAACAAAUUAGAGAGUAACCAUAGCUAUAUUCAAUGGUAAGUUCUUUUAUAGCCAAUUUUGACUGAUAUUUGCCACAUGAACAAAUUUCC